This is a long non-coding RNA of Triplophysa rosa, 393 nucleotides long. RefSeq lists it as uncharacterized. The record is from RefSeq and is a predicted model, not a curated record. The transcript has 4 exons. Lineage: Eukaryota; Metazoa; Chordata; Actinopteri; Cypriniformes; Nemacheilidae.
CACGGCAGACACCACAACGCUUGGAACUCCACCCAAUUCAUACGCACCACUGGUUGAACGGGUCGAUUCAGAAGCUGGUCGUGUCAUCGUGUAUUUGAAGGAGGUUCCAAAAAAUAUUCCAAUGAGUUACAAGCUACAAAUGAAACAACUUUAUCCAGUGAAAAGUCUCCGUUCUGCUGUGAUCAAAGUCUAUGACUACUAUCAACCAAGUGACCAGUCUGAGACUGCAUACUCCUCCCCCUGUGCAUGAGAGUAUCCAGCUUCAGGACAGUUGAUGCUAUCAUUCUUAAAUGAUUUUGCAAGGUUAUUUGUCUUUCUCAGCCUGCUGCUAAUAAAUUAUAUAUCUUUACGCACUGGUUUUUGUGCUGCAUGUAAAUAAAGUGGUCACAGAUA